AACCCCUACUCAUUAGUUGCCAUCAGGUCAAGCUGGGGACUCUAAUGAAACUGCCUACGCAAGUAGUGAGGAAGGUGGGGAUGACGUCAAAUCAGCACGGCCCUUACGUCCAGGGCUACACACGUGCUACAAUGGCCGAUACAGAGGGCAGCUACCUGGUGACAGGAUGCAAAUCUCCAAAGUCGGUCUCAGUUCGGAUCGGAGUCUGCAACCCGACUCCGUGAAGUUGGAUUCGCUAGUAAUCGCGCAUCAGCCAUGGCGCGGUGAAUACGUUCCCGGGCCUU
Molecule: ribosomal RNA, 284 nt
Filed under: uncultured Sphingobacteriales bacterium
Lineage: Bacteria; Pseudomonadati; Bacteroidota; Sphingobacteriia; Sphingobacteriales
Description: partial 16S ribosomal RNA
Rfam family: Bacterial small subunit ribosomal RNA
Source: RNAcentral